UACGAAGGGGGCUAGCGUUGCUCGGAAUCACUGGGCGUAAAGCGCACGUAGGCGGAUCUUUAAGUCAGGGGUGAAAUCCUGGAGCUCAACUCCAGAACUGCCUUUGAUACUGGGGAUCUCGAGUCCGGGAGAGGUGAGUGGAACUCCGAGUGUAGAGGUGAAAUUCGUAGAUAUUCGGAAGAACACCGAUGGCGAAGGCAGCCAUCUGGACCGACACUGACGCUGAGGCGCGAAAGCGUGGGGAGCAAACAGG
RNAcentral lists this ribosomal RNA (253 nucleotides) under uncultured bacterium. Its description in RNAcentral is "partial 16S ribosomal RNA". It matches the Rfam family "Bacterial small subunit ribosomal RNA", at positions 524 to 776 of the family's 1533-position model. The record is from RNAcentral.